Molecule: ribosomal RNA, 252 nt
Filed under: uncultured bacterium
Lineage: Bacteria
Description: partial 16S ribosomal RNA
Rfam family: Bacterial small subunit ribosomal RNA
Source: RNAcentral
UACGUAGGGGGCAAGCGUUAUCCGGAAUCACUGGGCGUAAAGGGUGCGUAGGCGGCUAUUCAAGCCAGAAGUGAAAGGCAGUGGCUCAACCAUUGUAAGCUUUUGGAACUGUUUAGCUUGAGUGCAGGAGAGGUAAGUGGAAUUCCUAGUGUAGAGGUGAAAUUCGUAGAGAUUAGGAGGAACACCAGUGGCGAAGGCGACUUACUGGACUGUAACUGACGCUGAGGCACGAAAGCGUGGGGAGCGAACAGG